GAAUAUUGGGCAAUGGACGCAAGUCUGACCCAGCAACGCCGCGUGAAGGAAGAAGGCUUUCGGGUUGUAAACUUCUUUUGUCAGGGAACAGUAGAAGAGGGUACCUGACGAAUAAGCCACGGCUAACUACGUGCCAGCAGCCGCGGUAAUACGUAGGUGGCAAGCGUUGUCCGGAUUUACUGGGUGUAAAGGGCGUGCAGCCGGGCCGGCAAGUCAGAUGUGAAAUCUGGAGGCUUAACCUCCAAACUGCAUUUGAAACUGUUGGUCUUGAGUACCGGAGAGGUUAUCGGAAUUCCUUGUGUAGCGGUGAAAUGCGUAGAUAUAAGGAAGAACACCAGUGGCGAAGGCGGAUAACUGGACGGCAACUGACGGUGAGGCGCGAAAGCGUGGGGAGCAAACAG
RNAcentral lists this ribosomal RNA (401 nucleotides) under uncultured bacterium. RNAcentral describes it as "bacterial SSU rRNA". It matches the Rfam family "Bacterial small subunit ribosomal RNA", at positions 359 to 775 of the family's 1533-position model. The record is from RNAcentral.